AUUUAAUUACUCUAAGGUAAUCACGGCUAUGAGAAUGAGUUGGAGCUAGCAUGUUUUAAAGUAGAAGGGGAAAGGUUAUCUCCUUGCUCUGAGUCACUACACCCUAUCUGUACUAUAAAUCAUUCUUUGGAGGAUAAGUGGAACUUGGCCUUGGCCUUAUGGGCUGGAAGAUUUGAAGCGUGCUGGCUGUGUGCCAGCAGGGAUGAAAGCAGGGCCUCAUGUUGGAGGGGUCACCUGGAGGAGGGGGCUCUGGACCCCUGGCUCACAUCUGCACUGGGACUGGCUCUGCCUUGUACUGGACCACGUCCACCUGCCUGCGAGAUUGGAUUGGCUGCAAGAAUGGGGUCAGCUCAGCCUCCCGGUAGAAUCUUAAUUACAAUUUCUUGUGUACCUGCCGACGUGGAAUCUGAUGGGUCUCUGCCUUUCUCUCCCUUCAAGUACACAGAAAGCUGACCACUGUCGGAUGCUCACGCAGCUUCAGCAGGGUGGCUGGAGAAGAAUUACAACCCAGAGGAACCUCGAGCAUGGUGGUUGGCCACAGUACUGGAAGCUCAAUAUAUGGUUUUUCUCAUCUACCUUGACAAGAAGAGCUCCUUUUUCCUAGGAUAAUACUCUCUCUCUCUCUCUAUAUAUAUAUAUAUAUAUUUUAGUAACAAUCUGACUUAUCUUUCCAACUAACUUUUGAAAGAGAGUGGCCAUCACUACGCUUUCCUCUGAGCAGAGUAAUGUAUCAGCAUGUGUUAGAUGUAAUCUGGGAACGCUUCCCUCCUGGAGGCCUCACGGGGUGAAGUGGGGAAUGUCGACCUUCAGAGCCUCGGUGGAGCAGACGACAUGCCUGGCUGCUCGGCUGGGCCAGGGCUGAGGCAAUCCUGGGUUUGCAAAAGGGUCCAAAACCAGAGGAAACUUUUAAAAUCAAAAAGUGACAGCACGUGUAGUUCAGAGGCCUCUGAGGUGAGGCAAUAAAUGAUGAGUGGUUUCCA
Molecule: long non-coding RNA, 980 nt
Filed under: Anser brachyrhynchus (Pink-footed goose)
Lineage: Eukaryota; Metazoa; Chordata; Aves; Anseriformes; Anatidae
Description: lncRNA (ENSABRG00000000640.1)
Source: RNAcentral